Molecule: unclassified non-coding RNA, 379 nt
Filed under: uncultured Microbacteriaceae bacterium
Lineage: Bacteria; Bacillati; Actinomycetota; Actinomycetes; Micrococcales; Microbacteriaceae
Description: contains 16S-23S intergenic spacer region
Source: RNAcentral
UCCGAGUUGACCCCGGCAGUAUCCCAUGAGUUCCCACCAUGACGUGCUGGCAACAUAGGACGAGGGUUGCGCUCGUUGCGGGACUUAACCCAACAUCUCACGACACGAGCUGACGACAACCAUGCACCACCUGUAUACGAGUGUCCAAAGAGUUCGCUGUCUCCAGCGCGUUCUCGCAUAUGUCAAGCCUUGGUAAGGUUCUUCGCGUUGCAUCGAAUUAAUCCGCAUGCUCCGCCGCUUGUGCGGGCCCCCGUCAAUUCCUUUGAGUUUUAGCCUUGCGGCCGUACUCCCCAGGCGGGGAACUUAAUGCGUUAGCUACGACACGGAGACCGUGGAAUGGUCCCCACAUCUAGUUCCCAACGUUUACGGCAUGGACUAC